RNAcentral lists this transfer RNA (623 nucleotides) under uncultured Prochlorococcus sp. Its description in RNAcentral is "partial 16S-23S ribosomal RNA intergenic spacer". The stretch from base 249 to 321 matches the Rfam family "tRNA". The record is from RNAcentral. Lineage: Bacteria; Bacillati; Cyanobacteriota; Cyanophyceae; Synechococcales; Prochlorococcaceae.
CAGGGAGACAAUAAAUUGAUUGUAAUGUCUGAGUAAUUAUCUUAGGCUGCAAUCCUGUCACCUUAAGGUCGAUCGGUACCUCAGAUUUUUGUAUUAAUUUUAUAAUUAAUCCUUUAAUUUCAGUUCCUAAACUUGUCUAGGUCACACCCAACAAGGGUUUCUCCUGGGCCAUUAGCUCAGGUGGUUAGAGCGCACCCCUGAUAAGGGUGAGGUCCCUGGUUCAAGUCCAGGAUGGCCCAUUCGUUGUUGGGGGUAUAGCUCAGUUGGUAGAGCGCCUGCUUUGCAAGCAGGAUGUCAGCGGUUCGAGUCCGCUUACCUCCACUGAAACCUACCCUGGUAACUAAAUUCCGGAGAAAUUUGUAGUUGUGAUUUAGAUUGUCUAUUUGAAUAGAACCUAGCUUCUUAUCAUCUUUUUAGAGUUGAUAACAUGCUGGGCUCCCAUGGAUUAAUUCCAUGUGAAUUCAGUAGAACCUUGAAAACUGCAUAGAUAAAAAGAAUAAAGCAUCUCAUGGAUGCAUAAUUCUGUUCAUUAAUUUAGUUUGAAAACUAAAUUAUUAACAAACAGGAUUCAUGUUUAAUUCUUGAGUAAUAGCUGAGCACAAUUAAUUUUUUAAUUGUAUUAA